Oncorhynchus tshawytscha (Chinook salmon) is the source of this 2640-nucleotide long non-coding RNA. Lineage: Eukaryota; Metazoa; Chordata; Actinopteri; Salmoniformes; Salmonidae. The record is from Ensembl.
CAAUAAGACGAGCUAUAAGACAGACUAGACCCCACGCGACGAGCUAUAAGACAGACUAGACCCCACACGACGAGCUAUAAGACAGACUAGACCCCAUACAACGAGCUAUAAGACAGACCCCACGCGACGAGCUAUAAGAGAGACGAGACCCCACGCGACGAGCUAUAAGACAGACUAGACCCCACACGACCAGCAAUAAGACAGACGAGACCCCACACAACGAGCUAUUAGACAGACCAGACCCCACACGACGAGCUAUAAGACAGACCAGACCCCACACAACGAGCUAUAAGACAGACUAGACCAGAACCCACACGACGAGCUAUAAGACAGACUAGACCCCACACGACGAGCUAUAAGACAGACUAGACCCCACACGACGAGCUUUCAGACAGACUAGACCCCACACGACGAGCUAUAAGACAGACUAGACCCCACAAGACGAGCUAUAAGACAGACGAGACCCCACACGACGAGCUAUAAGACAGACCAGACCCCACACGAUGAGCUAUAAGAGAGACGAGACCCCACACAACGAGCUAUAAGACAGACUAGACCCCACAAGACGAACUAUAAGAGAGACGAGACCCCACACGACGAGCUAUAAACAGACUAGACCCCACACGACGAGCUAUAAGACAGACUAGACCAGACCCCACACGACGAGCUAUAAGACAGACUAGACCCCACGUGACGAGCUAUAAGACAGACCCCACACGACGAGCUAUAAGACAGACCAGACCCCACACGACGAGCUAUAAGACAGACUAGACCCCAUACGACGAGCUAUAAGACAGACUAGACCCCACGCGACGAGCUAUAAGACAGACGAGACCCCACACGACGAGCUAUAAGACAGACUAGACCCCAUACAACGAGCUAUAAGACAGACCCCACGCGACGAGCUAUAAGAGAGACGAGACCCCACGCGACGAACUAUAAGACAGACUAGACCCCACACGACCAGCAAUAAGACAGACGAGACCCCACACAACGAGCUAUUAGACAGACCAGACCCCACACGACGAGCUAUAAGACAGACCAGACCCCACACAACGAGCUAUAAGACAGACUAGACCAGAACCCACACGACGAGCUAUAAGACAGACUAGACCCCACACGACGAGCUAUAAGACAGACCCCACACGACAAGCUUUCAGACAGACUAGACCCCACACGACGAGCUAUAAGACAGACUAGACCCCACAAGACGAGCUAUAAGACAGACGAGACCCCACACGACGAGCUAUAAGACAGACCAGACCCCACACGAUGAGCUAUAAGAGAGACGAGACCCCACACAACGAGCUAUAAGACAGACUAGACCCCACAAGACAAACUAUAAGAGAGACGAGACCCCAACGACGAGCUAUAAACAGACUAGACCCCACACGACGAGCUAUAAGACAGACUAGACCAGACCCCACGUGACGAGCUAUAAGACAGACUAGACCCCACGUGACGAGCUAUAAGACAGACCCCACACGACGAGCUAUAAGACAGACCAGACCCCACACGACGAGCUAUAAGACAGACUAGACCCCACGUGACGAGCUAUAAGACAGACUAGACCCCACGUGACGAGCUAUAAGACAGACCCCACACGACGAGCUAUAAGACAGACCAGACCCCACACGACGAGCUAUAAGACAGACUAGACCCCACACGACGAGCUAUAAGACAGACUAGACCCCACGCGACGAGCUAUAAGACAGACUAGACCCCACACGACGAGCUACAAGAGAGACGAGACCCCACACAACGAGCUAUAAGACAGACUAGACCCCACAAGACGAGCUAUAAGACAGACUAGAUCCCACGCGACGAGCUAUAAGACAGACUAGACCCCACACGACGAGCUAUAAGACAGACUAGACCCCACGCGACGAGCUAUAAGACAGACUAGACCCCACACGACGAGCUAUAAGACAGACUAGACCCCACGCGACGAGCUAUAAGACAGACUAGACCCCACGCGACGAGCUAUAAGACAGACUAAACCCCACGCGACGAGCUAUAAGACAGACUGUGUGUGUGUGUGUGUGUGUGUGUGUGUGUGUGUGUGUGUGUGUGUGUGUGUGUGUGUGUGUGUGUGUGUGUGUGUGUGUGUGUGCGGAGGGGGGGGGGAGGGGGUGAGUGAUACAGGGUCAGAUGUAUAGAGAAAACCAGAGAGAGAGAGAGGCAAGUUUUGUUCUGAGUAAUGGGUUGAGUAACAAACAUCACUAUACUUACCUUCGACCUGUCCAGUCUUCUGUGAGCUGAGUAGUCUGGUGUCGGCAGGAGGGGAGGAAUGAGAGAGGGCAGUAAGGAAAGCAGGAGGGGAGGAAUGAGAGAGGGCAGUAAGGAAAGCAGGAGGGGAGGAAUGAGAGAGGGCAGUAAGGAAAGCAGGAGGGGAGGAAUGAGAGAGGGCAGGGAGGAAUGAGAGAGGGCAGUAAGGAAAGCAGGAGGGGAGGAAUGAGAGAGGGCAGUAAGGAAAGCAGGAGGGGAGGAAUGAGAGAGGGCAGUAAGGAAAGCAGGAGGGGAGGAAUGAGAGAGGGCAGUGAGGAAAGCAGGAGGGGAGGAAUGAGAGAGGGCAGUAAGGAAAGCAGGAGGGGAGGAAUGAGAGAGGGCAGUAAGGAAAGCAGGAGGGGAGGAAUGAGA